Molecule: long non-coding RNA, 358 nt
Organism: Dromaius novaehollandiae (emu)
Lineage: Eukaryota; Metazoa; Chordata; Aves; Casuariiformes; Dromaiidae
Exons: 3
Source: RefSeq, a predicted model, not a curated record
GAGAAGUGGCACAAGUAGGACUUGCUUCCCCAUCACCAGAACUGCUCAAAUCUUUGUUCCUAAAACUGACACAUUUUCUUCCAGCAUACAAGGGUGUGAAGGACAGCAGGAUGGAAGGCAGAAUGACAAUUUUGCCAGGACAGCCCAAUGACCAUGAUGGAUCUACUUUCAUGGCUGCUAUACAUGUCCCACAUGGCCAGGAAAUAAAGGAAAACUUUUCACCUCCCAAGGAUCCCAAGCAAAUGGAUGGCCGUUCUGUAGUAGGUGAGUUUUUGGCAAGAGGUUUGGAAAACUGUAAGUGAAUUAACUGAAGAAAGGUCCUGCAUGUCUGGAAGAUUUAUAAAUAAUGAACAGACUU